UACAGAGGGGGCAAGCGUUGUUCGGAAUUACUGGGCGUAAAGGGCGCGUAGGCGGCCUGCUAAGUCGAACGUGAAAUCCCUGGGCUCAACCCAGGAACUGCGUCCGAUACUGGCAGGCUUGAAUUCGGGAGAGGGAUGUGGAAUUCCAGGUGUAGCGGUGAAAUGCGUAGAUAUCUGGAGGAACACCGGUGGCGAAGGCGGCAUCCUGGACCGAUAUUGACGCUGAGGCGCGAAAGCCAGGGGAGCAAACGGG
Molecule: ribosomal RNA, 253 nt
Filed under: uncultured bacterium
Lineage: Bacteria
Description: partial 16S ribosomal RNA
Rfam family: Bacterial small subunit ribosomal RNA
Source: RNAcentral